Molecule: long non-coding RNA, 1049 nt
Filed under: Notechis scutatus (mainland tiger snake)
Lineage: Eukaryota; Metazoa; Chordata; Lepidosauria; Squamata; Elapidae
Description: lncRNA (ENSNSUG00000019680.1)
Source: RNAcentral
CAGUUGGAACAGAAUAUACUAAUAAUUUCUUAACACCUGCCUUGGUCUAUUUGGUUUUUUGCACAUGUGGAUGGAACUGACCCUGAGAUGUUACGUCAAGUUGGGAAAUUUGUAUCAUUUUCCAGUAGGUCUGAGGGAUGUGUGUUUCUGUUCAAAUGUAAUAAGUUCUAUUGACCUGUUUGCUGGUCAUUAUCUUGCCCACGUGUGGACUUUCUUGGAACACAGAUCAUUGGCUGAUCCCAACUAGGGGAGGGAUUCUGUGGUCCUUAAAAGCUGCUCCUCUGCUCACUUGCCUACAAAGCAAUCUUGGUUUAUCCCAGAGAGAGAACGGACAAGACAGAUUUAUUUAUUUUUUUAAAAAAAUCUAAGAACACAGCCUUACUCAAGAAAGAAAGAUGAAACUUCAAAUGAUCUGCAUGCUCUUCAUUUUACUUAGUGCUACUACCAGAAACCUCUGUGCAUUCACCAUUCAGAGAGUCCUCUACGGGCAAGACACAUGCCUGGCAGGUCUAUGUGGGCAGCCUAUAGAAUGGGAAGAUGGUAGAGUGUCACUUUGUGGACUCCAUUCUGUUCUUCCUGUCCAACAGCAACUGAAGGUAGAGAAAUGUCCAGAGAGAGAGAUGCCCAGAAAGACUUGGCCAGUUUGGACCCUUACAAGACAGAAAGCAUGGGACUGCAGGCAUUGCUAGGAAGACCCAAGCGUCACGUCAGUCACAUUGCUCUCUGCAGAUAUUGCUGGGACUGUUGUGGAAACAAAGGUUUUGGUUACUGCUGUCGGACAUGAAAAGGACAAAGUCCAUGAUAGAUGACAACUCUGCUAUGGAGAUGUCCUUCUCCUUGUAGACAUGACCACCUUCAAAAAAACCUCCUCCCAUUGGUCUCUGGGUCUCCUGACACAUUCUCCUUAUUUAUUAGUUUGACAAUAUUUGGUGUUUUUGUUUUGCUUGAUGUUCUUGUCAGUUCUUGAGAAUUAAACGUAUUUUUAUCUCAUAUGCGCUGUUACCGAUUUGUGAUUCUCUACCUCUGGAUUAUAUUUUCCUGCCUUAAGA